This 253-nucleotide ribosomal RNA is filed under the name uncultured Acidithiobacillus sp. Its description in RNAcentral is "partial 16S ribosomal RNA". It matches the Rfam family "Bacterial small subunit ribosomal RNA", at positions 524 to 776 of the family's 1533-position model. The record is from RNAcentral. Lineage: Bacteria; Pseudomonadati; Pseudomonadota; Acidithiobacillia; Acidithiobacillales; Acidithiobacillaceae.
UACGGGGGGUGCAAGCGUUAAUCGGAAUCACUGGGCGUAAAGGGUGCGUAGGCGGUGAGUGAAGUCUGCUGUGAAAUCCCUGGGCUCAACCUGGGAAUGGCGGUAGAAACCGGCGCACUAGAGUAUGGGAGAGGGUGGUGGAAUUCCAGGUGUAGCGGUGAAAUGCGUAGAGAUCUGGAGGAACAUCAGUGGCGAAGGCGGCCACCUGGCCCAAUACUGACGCUGAGGCACGAAAGCGUGGGGAGCAAACAGG